This 253-nucleotide ribosomal RNA is filed under the name uncultured bacterium. RNAcentral describes it as "partial 16S ribosomal RNA". It matches the Rfam family "Bacterial small subunit ribosomal RNA", at positions 524 to 776 of the family's 1533-position model. The record is from RNAcentral.
UACGGAGGGUGCGAGCGUUGUCCGGAAUCACUGGGCGUAAAGGGCGCGUAGGCGGCGCGGGCAGUCAACGGUGAAAGCUUGGGGCUCAACCCCGAGUCGGCCGUCGAUACUCCCGGGCUGGAGCACUGUAGAGGCAGGUGGAAUUCCGGGUGUAGCGGUGGAAUGCGUAGAGAUCCGGAAGAACACCGGUGGCGAAGGCGGCCAUCUGGACCGCAACUGACGCUGAGGCGCGAAAGCGUGGGGAGCAAACAGG